CUGCAUAGAUAUGUGGUUAGACCCAUUGGAAAGUAGACUUCAUGAGCUUUCCAACAAGUAUAGGAACGUCCCAGUUAGAGUCCAUAUGACACCGUGGUGAUCCAUACAAGUUAGAGUUAUUUUCCAGUCCGAAUCCAACUCCCAAAACGUGUUGGGUUUGGACUCUUUGUUUCCUUGCUUUAGAAGCGACGUGGUAACUUGAUAGAGGAUGUUGUGGAGGCUUGGACUUGAUCUCCAAUCACCUUUGUUAAGUUAUCACUCUUCCCAUAUGC
This 272-nucleotide long non-coding RNA is filed under the name Sorghum bicolor (sorghum). Its description in RNAcentral is "long non-coding RNA (SBIC_LNC018656)". Lineage: Eukaryota; Viridiplantae; Streptophyta; Magnoliopsida; Poales; Poaceae. The record is from RNAcentral.